Molecule: ribosomal RNA, 252 nt
Filed under: uncultured bacterium
Lineage: Bacteria
Description: partial 16S ribosomal RNA
Rfam family: Bacterial small subunit ribosomal RNA
Source: RNAcentral
UACGUAGGGGGCAAGCGUUAUCCGGAUUUACUGGUGUAAAGGGAGCGUAGACGGCAAUGCAAGUCUGGAGUGAAAGGCGGGGGCCCAACCCCCGGACUGCUCUGGAAACUGUAUAGCUGGAGUGCAGGAGAGGUAAGUGGAAUUCCUAGUGUAGCGGUGAAAUGCGUAGAUAUGAGGAGGAACACCAGUGGCGAAGGCGGUCUGCUGGACAGCAACUGACGCUGAGGCGCGAAAGCGUGGGGAGCAAACAGG